UUGUGGUGUGUUUGGAGGGACGUCGGGAUGCUAGUGUCUUGGUGUGUUUGGAGGGACGUUGGGAUGCUAGUGUCUUGGUGUGUUUGGAGGGACGUCGGGAUGCCUAGUGUCUUGGUGUGUUUGGAGGGACGUCGGGAUGCUAGUGUCUUGGUGUGUUUGGAGGGACGUCGGGAUGCUAGUGUCUUGGUGUGUUUUUGGAGGGACGUCGGGAUGCUAGUGUCUUGGUGUGUUUUUUGGAGGGACGUCGGGAUGCUAGUGUCUUGGUGUGUUUUUUGGAGGGACGUCGGGAUGCUAGUGUCUUGGUGUGUUUUUUGGAGGGACGUCGGGAUGCUAGUGUCUUGGUGUGUUUUUUGGAGGGACGUCGGGAUGCUAGUGUCUUUGUUGCGACUCUUCUCUUGGUUUGUUUUUGUCCCAACCUCUUUGGAUACAGCUGUGAUUCACUCAUUCAUCAGACUUGGCUAGCUUUAAUGAUGUCAUGACCUAGAUUUUUCUGGGACAUAUUUCGGUGCAAUGGAGUGUAAUUUCAGGCGUUUUAAGAAGUAAAAAUUGUUUAAAAAAAUAAAUAAAAAAUGGUCUGUUUUUGAGAGUGAUGUCUCAUUUUGAUAAACUUGUCACUAGAUCCCCCCCCCUCACUGCCAUAUAUUUUUCUUAGUUUAUUUUAACAGGGGUUUUUAUCUUAGUCUUGAUCUUUUUCUUUCUGGCAUUGAGUGUGGUUGGUCCUUGAUAUUUUGGUGUUUGUUGAAGGACAGAGUAAAGUGUCUGAGAUUGCCAUUUGAAAAUGUGGUUUUGCAGUGAUGAGGAACUGAGAGACAUACUAGUGUGUGUGUUCUAGUGUUGGUUCUAGAAUGUUUUCUCGUGUUGGUUCUAGAAUGUGCUGUAGUGUCGGUUCAAGAAUGUGCUCUAGAAUAGGUUCUAGUGUCGGUUCUAGAAUGUGCUCUAGAAUAGGUUCUAGAAUGUGCUCUGGUGUCGGUUCUAGAAUAUGCUCUAGUGUCGGUUCUAGUGUCGGUUCACUGUGUUCCAAUGCGUGAACAGGCGUUUAUGAUGUGUAGUUAAUUUGUCAUCAUUAAAGACAGACGUGAGAGAAAUUCAAAAGAAUCACUGUUUGUUAUUUUUUUUUCCUGAAUGAGUGAGUUUGUACUUACCAGUAAUUGUUGGAUAUUGCUGUGCAUCUUUUGUGGAACUCCUACAGUAUAUGGGUGUUGUUUUUUUUAAAAAUAGGGUGUAUCUAUUCCACAGUAAGUAAGGGUUUGUUUUGAAACACGGCCGUUUGUGUAGAGAUGUAGAUGGUACAGAGACGGUGUGUUGAGGGGUUGAAGAACCCAGAGGAACAGAAUCAGGAUCCACCCCCCAUGCCAUACCUCAAAACCCCUGAUGACACACACACACACACACACACACACCAAUAUAAACCUCUGACACACACACACACACACACACACACAAUAUAAACCUCUGACACACACACACAUCACACAAAUCAAGCUGAUACGUUGAUCCAUCAUGCCUUUUUUUUUUCUUUUUUCAAACAGGUUUUUUUCUUUUAUAGUAUUAUAAAACACGUUUUUAAAAUUGAAAUUGUAAUCAAUGCGAAGAAGAAAAGUUAAACCGAUGUUGUUGAUGUGACGCUCCUUAUCCGUGUAGUGGCAGCUCUGGGGUUGCACAUGGUGCUGUUGUAAGUGUGUGUGUUCGGCUGAGGUGAGAUCUCAUCGACUCUGUUCAACCUGUGAUCUUUAACAACCGCAUCCUCCUUUUGUUGAGAAGACAUACCUCCCAGACAUGUGUAACCCUCUUCCUCUGUUAUUUGAGGGGAAAACAUACAGUCGUCCUCUUACCUUGACAUUCCUGAGUUUCUUUGAUUUUUUUUUUUAGUUCUUGCCCAAACGGUUGUGAACUUGUUUUGUUAUUUUAUUUUAAAGAAAAUGUUACAUAAAAACCUGGAGAGAAUUUUUUUACGGCCUUUCUGUCUUUCAUCUGUAGUUGUGUUAAAUAUUGUCUUGAACUGCAUUCAGACACAGCAGCCGUUUAGCUAAAUUCAACUGAUUUUACAUUCUUAAUAAAGCAUGAAUAAAACAAACAAAAACAGUCCAACCAAUAACUACACAAUUAUUUAUUGGGUUAAAAAUGUUUAAAAAAUGCAUUACACUCAUUUGACCAAAACUUUUAAUAGGAAACCACAACAAGUCCAACCCAUAGUCAUAUUCACAACUCCACAUGUUGAACCCACCCUGUAGGGAGCUCUUCAACGGGCUAGGGAGGCUCCUGCCUGGUCCUGGUCGUACAGCGGAGGGGGUGGAGGGGGGUGUUCUUGGCAGGUUUUGUCUGUCCCAUUCUGUGUCUCAUCCAUCCAUUGGUAGGACUGGCAGACGAGCAGAUUCUAUAGCCGUUAACUCGGACACCAGUGUUUCAGAGCUAAUAGGGGUGGGGGGAUGUUCUUGGUAGGUUCUGUCUGUCCCAUUCUGCGUCUCAUCCAUCCAUUGGUAGGACUGGCAGACGAACUGAUUCGAUUCGUUCCGGUUCCCACAGACCAACCAAUCCGGUGCUGAGUCAGGAAGUCCAAGACUGAAGGAAGGGAGCACUGGUCCUUUUCCAACAUCUCCAGUUCAUCCAUUGGCCAUGAGAGGGCUGUGGUCUUCACUGGAGCGAUUUGGAGAAGGGGCUUGACAGUGCAUCGUGUCAGGGUGGGUUAUCAAAUGUUAUGGGAUGGUAGGUGGUAUAGGGGAGACAUCGAGGAUGGUAGGUGGUAUAGGGGAGACAUCGAGGAUGGUAGGUGGUAUAGGGGAGACGUUGAGGAUGGUAUAGGGGAGACAUCGAGGAUGAUAGGUGGUAGAGGGGAGACGUUGAGGGUGGUAGGUGGUAUAGGGAGACGUUGAGGGUGGUAUAGGGGAGACGUGGAGGGUGGUAGGUGGGAGACGUCGAGGGUGGUAGGUGGUAUAGGGGAGACGUUGAGGGUGGUAGGUAGUAUAGGGAGACGUUUCAGGGUGGUAGGUAGGUGAGGGUUGGAGUAGUGUAAAUAAAACUGAAUAUUUUAAGAGAUAUUCAAUGGGUUAUGGAGUGGUGGCUCUGUGAGGUAUGAAGACAGAAAAAGAGAGGUUAUGUGUGUUUGAUGCCUGAGAGAGAGAACGGUACAUCUGGUAAGGAGUGGGGUGUGUUAAAAAAAAAAAAAUGGCCGAUUCAGAAGAGACUGAUGUUUCAGCAGUACUGGGACAUGGUCAGGAGAGGAAAUUAGAGAAGCCUGAGACCUAGAGAGAGGGAAGAGGAUAAGGAUGGCUAACUGGUAUGGACUGGUAGGUAGCAGUCUAAUAUGAGGACUGGUAGGUAGCAGUCUAAUGUGAGGACUGGUAGGUAGGUAGCAGUCUAAUGUGAGGACUGGUAGGUAGGUAGCAGUCUAAUGUGAGGACUGGUAGGUAGGUAGCUGUCUAAUGUGAGGACUGGUAGGUAGGUAGCAGUCUAAUGUGAGGACUGGACUGGUAGGUAGCUGGUUAAUGUGAGGACUGGACUGGUAGGUAGCUGUCUAAUGUGAGGACUGGACUGGUAGGUAGCUGUCUAAUGUGAGGACUGGACUGGUAGGUAGCUGUCUAAUGUGAGGACUGGACUGGUAGGUAGCUGUCUAAUGUCAGGACUGGACUGGUAGGUAGCUGUCUAAUGUGAGGACUGGAAGGUAGCAGUGUAAUGUGAGGACUGGAAGGUAGCAGUGUAAUGUGAGGACUGGUAGGUAGUAGUGUAAUGUGAGGACUGGAAGGUAGCAGUGUAAUGUGAGGACUGGAAGGUAGCAGUGUAAUGUGAGGACUGGUAGGUAG
Oncorhynchus tshawytscha (Chinook salmon) is the source of this 3797-nucleotide long non-coding RNA. NCBI's taxonomy places the organism in Eukaryota, Metazoa, Chordata, Actinopteri, Salmoniformes, Salmonidae. The record is from Ensembl.